GACGAACGCUGGCGGCGUGCUUAACACAUGCAAGUCGAACGGAAAGGCCCUGCUUUUGUGGGGUGCUCGAGUGGCGAACGGGUGAGUAACACGUGAGUAACCUGCCCUUGACUUGGGGAUAACUUCAGGAAACUGGGGCUAAUACCGGAUAGGAGCUCCUGCUGCAUGGUGGGGGUUGGAAAGUUUCGGCGGUUGGGGAUGGACUCGCGGCUUAUCAGCUUGUUGGUGGGGUAGUGGCUUACCAAGGCUUUGACGGGUAGCCGGCCUGAGAGGGUGACCGGCCACAUUGGGACUGAGAUACGGCCCAGACUCCUACGGGAGGCAGCAGUGGGGAAUAUUGCACAAUGGGCGGAAGCCUGAUACAGCAACGCCGCGUGCGGGAUGACGGCCUUCGGGUUGUAAACCGCUUUCGCCUGUGACGAAGCGUGAGUGACGGUAAUGGGUAAAGAAGCACCGGCUAACUACGUG
Molecule: ribosomal RNA, 468 nt
Filed under: uncultured bacterium
Lineage: Bacteria
Description: partial 16S ribosomal RNA
Rfam family: Bacterial small subunit ribosomal RNA
Source: RNAcentral